GAUUUUUUUUUUGUAAAGUCCUUCUCUUCAAAAGCCUGCCGAUGUCUUCAGAUCACAGUGAACACCUGAAAACUAAAUGAGCCAUUUUAAAAGAGAAUUGUGGGAUAUUUAUAUAUAUACGAGCAUAUUUGAAAGGAGCGUGCUUGAUAAGCAAUGUCUGCUUAUGAUGAAGGAGAAGAGGAAGGAGACCCAUAUGAGGACAUUACCGAGCCAAAAUCAGCUGCUGCUGAAUCACUCCUGCCUAAGGAACCUGAACCUGCUCCAAGCCCAGCACCACCACCCACAACUCACUACUGCUGUCUUCUGUGGAGUAUCAUCUGGUUGGCUGUGUUGGUUUCUUUUGCUUGGCCCCUGAGUGUGGCUCUGGCAGCCCUUUAUGGAUUUGCAUCACCAAUGGUUACCCUGUUAGGAUUUGAUGAUGCCACUGGAUCUUUGCUGCAAGCAGUAAAUUUGGGAAGAGAGUGUGCUCAGAACAUCAGAACUGGCAAGCCCAUCAUUUGAAGAAAAGAUCUCACAGCAUUUUAGCAUUCCAUUCUUUCACAAGCAUCCUUUAUAUGUAUUUAGCACUAACAGUCCACCUGUAUCUCUUCUUUUGACCAUUCACAUUAAAAAGUACUUAAUUCAUUAUAAAA
Molecule: long non-coding RNA, 632 nt
Organism: Podarcis raffonei (Aeolian wall lizard)
Lineage: Eukaryota; Metazoa; Chordata; Lepidosauria; Squamata; Lacertidae
Exons: 3
Source: RefSeq, a predicted model, not a curated record